GACAGAGGGUGCAAACGUUGCUCGGAAUUACUGGGCGUAAAGCGCGUGUAGGCGGACUGGUGUGUCGGAUGUGAAAUCCCCAGGCUCAACCUGGGAACUGCAUUCGAAACUGCCAGCCUUGAGUGGUGGAGAGGGAAGUGGAAUUCCUGGUGUAGAGGUGAAAUUCGUAGAUAUCAGGAGGAACACCGGUGGCGAAGGCGGCGACCUGGGUAGAUACUGACGCUGAGGUGCGAAAGCGUGGGGAGCGAACAGG
RNAcentral lists this ribosomal RNA (253 nucleotides) under uncultured bacterium. Its description in RNAcentral is "partial 16S ribosomal RNA". It matches the Rfam family "Bacterial small subunit ribosomal RNA", at positions 524 to 776 of the family's 1533-position model. The record is from RNAcentral.